CCGCCCCUAGCUCAGCUGGUUAGAGCAUCGAGCUUAUACCUCGAGGGUCCUAGGUUCGAAUCCUAGGGGGCGGACCA
This 77-nucleotide transfer RNA is filed under the name bacterium. RNAcentral describes it as "tRNA-Ile". It matches the Rfam family "tRNA". Rfam says of the family: Transfer RNA (tRNA) molecules are approximately 80 nucleotides in length. Their secondary structure includes four short double-helical elements and three loops (D, anti-codon, and T loops). The record is from RNAcentral.